This 221-nucleotide ribosomal RNA is filed under the name uncultured bacterium. Its description in RNAcentral is "partial 16S ribosomal RNA". It matches the Rfam family "Bacterial small subunit ribosomal RNA", at positions 524 to 741 of the family's 1533-position model. The record is from RNAcentral.
GACAGAGGUGCCAAGCGUUAGGCGGAAUCACUGGGCUUAAAGCGUGUGUAGGCGGACUGGUAAGUACCUUGUGAAAUCCCACGGCUCAACCGUGGAAACUUGCUCGGUAUACUGCUCGUCUUGAGCCACUUAGGGGCUGUCGGAACAAACGGUGGAGCGGUGAAAUGCGUAGAUAUCGUUUGGAACGCCAAUGGUGAAAACAGACAGCUGGGGAGUGUGCU